CUCAGUCAGGUUGACACUGGUCUACUACCAGGCCAUGUGUCUUCUCAGUCAUGUUGACACUGGUCUACUACCAGGUCAUGUGUCUUCUCAGUCAUGUUGACACUGGUCUACUACCAGGUCAUGUGUCUUCUCAGUCAUGUUGACACUGGUCUACUACCAGGUCAUGUGUCUUCUCAGUCAUGUUGACACUGGUCUACUACCAGGUCAUGUGUCUUCUCAGUCAUGUUGACACUGGUCUACUACCAGGUCAUGUGUCUUCUCAGUCAUCUUGACACUGGUCUACUACCAGGUCAUGUGUCUUCUCAGUCAUGUUGACACUGGUCUACUACCAGGUCAUGUGUCUUCUCAGUCAUGUUGACACUGGUCUACUACCAGGUCAUGUGUCUUCUCAGUCAUGUUGACACUGGUCUACUACCAGGUCAUGCGUCUUCUCAGUCAGGUUGACACUGGUCUACUACCAGGCCAUGUGUCUUCUCAGUCAUGUUGACACUGGUCUACUACCAGGUCAUGUGUCUUCUCAGUCAUGUUGACACUGGUCUACUACCAGGUCAUGUGUCUUCUCAGUCAUGUUGACACUGGUCUACUACCAGGUCAUGUGUCUUCUCAGUCAUGUUGACACUGGUCUACUACCAGGUCAUGUGUCUUCUCAGUCAUGUUGACACUGGUCUACUACCAGGUCAUGUGUCUUCUCAGUCAUGUUGACACUGGUCUAAUACCAGGUCAUGUGUCUUCUCAGUCAUGUUGACACUGGUCUACUACC
Long non-coding RNA from Oncorhynchus keta (chum salmon), 760 nucleotides. RefSeq lists it as uncharacterized. NCBI's taxonomy places the organism in Eukaryota, Metazoa, Chordata, Actinopteri, Salmoniformes, Salmonidae. The transcript has 3 exons. The record is from RefSeq and is a predicted model, not a curated record.